Molecule: ribosomal RNA, 457 nt
Filed under: uncultured bacterium
Lineage: Bacteria
Description: partial 16S ribosomal RNA
Rfam family: Bacterial small subunit ribosomal RNA
Source: RNAcentral
GAUGAACGCUGGCGGCGUGCCUAAUACAUACAAGUCGUACGGAAAGGCCCUUCGGGGUACUCGAGUGGCGGACGGCUGAGUAACGCGUGGGAACGUGCCCCAAAGUGAGGGAUAACGCACCGAAAGGUGUGCUAAUACCGCAUAUGGUCUUCGGAUUAAAGCUUCGGCGCUUUGGGAGUGGCCCGCGUACGAUUAGAUAGUUGGUGAGGUAAUGGCUCACCAAGUCGACGAUCGUUAGCUGGUCUGAGAGGAUGAUCAGCCAGACUGGGACUGAGACACGGCCCAGACUCCUACGGGAGGCAGCAGUAAGGAAUCUUCCACAAUGGGGGCAACCCUGAUGGAGCAACGCCGCGUGCAGGAUGAAGGUUUUCGGAUCGUAAACUGCUUUUAUAAGUGAAGAAUAUGACGGUAGAUGAUGAAUAAGGAUCGGCUAACUACGUGCCAGCCGCCGCCGUAA